Molecule: long non-coding RNA, 481 nt
Filed under: Nicotiana tabacum (common tobacco)
Lineage: Eukaryota; Viridiplantae; Streptophyta; Magnoliopsida; Solanales; Solanaceae
Description: long non-coding RNA (NTAB_LNC014322)
Source: RNAcentral
UAAUAUAGGGUCUCCACUCCCUAGUUGAUGCCAGCAUAACUUGACGCCAACAUAGGGUCUCCACUCCAUAGUUUAUGCCAAUAUAGGGUCUCCACUCCCUAGUUGAUGCCAAUAUAGGGUCUCCACUCCCUCGGUGAUGUCAAUAUAGGGUCUCCACUCCCUAGUUGAUGCCAGCAUAACCUGACGCCAACAUAGGGUCUACACUCCCUAGUUGAUGCCAACAUAGGGUCUCCACUCCCUAAUUGAUGCUAGCAUAACCUGACGCCAACAUAGGGUCUCCACUCUCUAGUUGAUGCCAAUAUAGGGUCUCUACUCCCUAGUUGAUGCCAGCAUAACCUGAUGCCAACAUAGGGUCUACACUCCCUAGUUGAUACCAAUAUAGGGUUUCCACUCCCUAGUUGAUGCCAGCAUAACCUGAUGCUAACAUAGGGUCUCCACUCCCUAGUUGAUGCCAAUGUAGGGUCUCCACUCCCUAGUUGAU